CCCCACUAGCUCCGCUCAGAGGAUCAUGGCCACGCUACCAGGUCUCAGUGAACAUCUCCGUUUACUUCCCCUAUCACUCACCCACCGCAUCAGACACAACCACAGCAGCAGCCAAAAAAAAAACACACAGCCCAUUUCGCCCGUGAACAUGCUUCCCCCGGCCCUCCAGCCGCUAGUGCCACCUCCACUUCGUGAACCCCACCACGGCGCUGGACAUUGGGGCCGCCGAUUACAGCACCGUUUACCCUCGGCUGUGUUCCAUCGAGUAUCUCGUGACCGCCGCAACGUGUCUGGGAACGAUGCUUUAUGGGUUUGCCGUGCUCCAGUCGUUCUGCUACAAGAAUUUCUUUUCGUACCAGUGGGACACCGUCGAUCCGAACCCCUUCUUUGAACGCAUGGGCUCCAAGGGCUACGACGAUAGCGUAGACGAUCAAUGGGUCGGGUUCAUCACUCAUUACAAGCGUUUUCUUGGUCUGGCCCUGCUGCUGGCGGGCUUUUCCGGGCUGUAUCGAGCGCUGCUCUCUUACUCAACGUCAUCUGCAUCCCCCGUCCCCUCUGACAGCACGGCCUGCUCAUCACCCUCGGCGAGCAGCGAGUGCUCAGGGUCGCUGGACGGCCAUGUAAAGGUGUGGAUGCCACCGAGGUGGUUGGAUAAGCUACGCUCACGCGCGCGCACUCUCGGCUCACCCUCAGGUGCACGGAGGAGGUGCACCGACUUUCUGCAGCGCUCUUGGAUCCUGCCCGCCUUCUACACGGUUGUGGGCGUCGUCUUCGUCAUCUUUGUGCACGGCCCGCACUUUUUCCUCCCGCUGCUCAUCAUCAUCGCCAACUACGUCAUCUUCUCGCGGCUGCAGCGCUGGUGCCCCUACUGGCUGUUCAUGGUCAUCAUGUGGGCCGCGCACGUCACUCUCCUGUACCUCAUCGAGAUCAACGAUGGGUUCGAGCAGACGUACUGGCUGCAGUACUACACUUCGUGUAUUCUGUCACACCUGCAAGCCAUUCAGGGAGAUGCGGAAGCAAUUCCUUGGGAGCAGCGUAUGCGCUGGUGCGUAGCCUUCCGCAUGUCGACGCUGCGCCUCAUCGCCUUCAACUACGACCUGUGGGAGGCCACGCACGCCGCCGCACGCGCGCGCGACCGUGCCAGGGCGAAGCACGACACCGGCUGCGUCGAGUGCGCGCAGCUGCGCGAGCAGAACGCAGCGUCGGCGGCCGCGCUGCCCGCCGAGGCGUUGCGCUGCUACAAGUACCGCACCGAGUACGCGCGCGACCCCGCCGACUACAACUUCCUGAACUACGCCGCCUACGUGCUGUUCCCGCCACUGUACCUUGCCGGGCCAAUGUCGUCCUUCAACGCGUUCGUGUCGCACAUGCGCGUGCCGAGCACGUCGAUGCCGCUGCGCAAGAUGGUGAGGUACGCGUUUGGCAUCCUCCGCAUCUACAUCACGGAGUACACGCUGUUGCACUUUGUGCACAUCCCGUGCCUCGGCUCGUACGCCUUCGUGAUCCUUCGGAUGACCUUGCUGGAGCAGGCGCACUUCCUGUUCUACAUGCUGGCCUACCUGUGGCUGAAGUUCAGCUUUAUAUGGAAGUCGUCGCGUCUCUUCGCCAUGUUCAGCGGCAUCGAAGUUCCGGAGGACAUGCGGCGCUGCUUCGGCAACACGCUGACGGUGCGGGGCUUCUGGCGCGACUGGCACGCCUCCUUCAACCUGUGGAUCGUGCGGUACAUGUACAUCCCGAUGGGUGGCCGCAGCCGCGUCGCGCUGUCGGUGCUGCCCAUCUUCCUGUUCAUUGCGGUGUGGCACGACCCGGCGCUGCACCUUGUCAAGUGGGCGGUGUGCAUUGCCGCGAUGUUCGUGGCGGAGGUGGCGGUGAGCGGGUGCUUUGGGUGGGCCGCUGCGGCGUUCCGGCGCGAGAUGGCCGCCGCGGCACCGACGGGCGCAGUAAGUGAUGCUGCGCUGGAGAACGGUCGCCCCACGAACUGCGCGCCGCGCCGCAGUCUGCUGGCACGGCUGGCGAGGCUCUCUGCGCGUCGCUUGAGCCCGCUCGCGCAAUCGUGGGUAUACCGCCAAUUUCGAGUGAUAGCGGGCAUGACCACAGUGCUCGGGCUGAUCAUUGCGAACUUGGUGGGUUUCUCGAUGCAAAAUGCGGUGGCGACUGUGGAGAAGCACGGCCUACCGUCGUCGGGGACCGAUGCAGACAAUGUGAUCAAGAAGGCGUUUCACGGUCUCACGCCUCUCUUUACCCUAGGCCUGAUUGCCUUCAUGUACUCUAUGUCCGCCUUGGCGGCGAUGGAUCGCGACAUGGCCCGCCAGCAGGCAUCGUACUUGAAGCUGCUCUAUAGAUUGAAGCAGUAGCGGCCCCGUCACGAUGGCGUCACGAAGGAGUAGGUGGCACGAGUCUGCAGUGUGGAUGAGCCUGUGCAUCCGACUGGCGCGCGGCCCCAUCUCCCUUUUGCGCCAGCCAUCUAUGGUUUCUUCCCCUUUCUGCGAAAGGCGUCGAUGAUGUCGUUUCGCAGGCUUUUUUUUGGGUCUCUGGCCUUCUCUUCCCCUC
Molecule: unclassified non-coding RNA, 2550 nt
Filed under: Leishmania donovani
Lineage: Eukaryota; Euglenozoa; Kinetoplastea; Trypanosomatida; Trypanosomatidae
Description: gene:LdHU3.19.1620(CDS-product:glycerol_uptake_pr otein_putative)
Source: RNAcentral